Molecule: long non-coding RNA, 318 nt
Organism: Amphimedon queenslandica
Lineage: Eukaryota; Metazoa; Porifera; Demospongiae; Haplosclerida; Niphatidae
Exons: 3
Source: RefSeq, a predicted model, not a curated record
UCCAUCCCUCUUUCUCUACCUCCCUCCCUCUCUUCUCUAGUCAUCAUCUUCUUGCCAACUCAUUGACUCACAUUGGAGCAUUUGCUGAAGCUAAGCAAAAUAAGAGAAAAGCAUACAAUAUCUAUAGGACUAAAUUUGGCCCAGAUCAUGCAUGUACUGUUCAGUCUUAUAAAAAAUGUGAGGUAUAUCACUGAAAAGCAAGUCUCUUAUGACCAGACUGUUGCCUAAAUUUCCUUGCCAGUUUUUUGAAUGUUACAUCAUCUAAUCGUUUAGCAGUGCAGAGUCAUCAUUAACUGUGAGUUAGUAGUAACUAGUAAU